CCCAAACUGCUGCUCUUUCUCCCCGGCCCGUGGGACUUGGGAGUGCGUGAGAGUGAGGGACUCAGCAAAACCCUAAUUUUCACCCCAAUUCGCCCCUUCCAAACCCUAACCCUAAUACGCUCGAUGUUGUAAUCCCGCCGCGUUUGCCAUGGCUCUAGAGGGGCCCGCGGAGCGACGGGACGAGGGCCAGCAGGGAGGUAUGGCGAACGGGAAUGGCGUGGCUCCGCCGCCGUCGCGCAUGGCCGGCCGGCCGUUGGGGGCGGCUGCGUACUCUGACAGGCGGCUGCGCCUCAAUCCGAACACGGAGCACAAGCCGCAGGACUACACCGACGUGCGCGGCGAGUACGCGCCAGCCGUGUACAGCGCCCUGGAGCGGCACCUCCCACCUAGCCUCCUUGAGGCCGACCGUGAUGUCAAGCUACACUUCAUGCGGGACAUACUCGCGCGCUAUUGGCCCCAUGGCGAGCGAAACAAGGUUCAUAGGCACAAAGAAUACAGGCAGAAGAUAGUCCACCUCUAUAAGCCACUUCAUCAAGAAUUAUACAGCAUGCAUCCUUCGGCUUUCUUCUUACCAACAUUCCUUGAAGCAGUAAGAACCAAUACAGAAGAAAGCAUUGCAAGUAUAAUGACUGAACCAAUUCCUGGUGUUUUUUCAUUUGCUAUGUUACAGCCCAACUUUUGUGACAUGCUAUUGGAGGAGGUAGAGAACUUUGAAAAGUGGGUUCAUGCAAUGAAAUUUAAGAUAAUGAGGCCUAAUACAAUGAAUAAGUAUGGUGCUGUCCUUGAUGAUUUUGGCCUGGAAGCUAUGCUGAAUCAGUUCAUGGAGGAGUUCAUAGCUCCAAUUUCUAAAGUUUUUUACCCUGAGGUUGGUGGAGGAACAUUGGACUCUCAUCAUGCUUUUGUUGUUGAAUAUGGGAAAGACAGAGAUGUUGAACUAGGUUUCCAUGUUGAUGAUUCUGAGGUCACAUUAAAUGUUUGCCUUGGCAAGCAAUUCUCAGGCGGUGAAUUAUACUUUCGUGGCAUUCGUUGCGAGAAUCAUGUGAACUCAGAAACACAGCACGAGGUACAUGGUGUUUGGAAAUGUAUGAUUACUCUCAUGUUCCUGGACGAGCUGUACUUCACCGUGGCCGUCAUAGACAUGGUGCUAGACCGACAUCAUCAGGGCUCAGAAUGAAUCUGCUUUUGUGGUGCAGAAGCUCCGUGUUCAGGGAGAUGAAGAAAUACCAGAUGGAUUUUUCUAGCUGGUGCGGUGAGUGCCAGCGUGAAAAGAGAGAGAGGCAGAUUCAGUGCGUCAAAGCGACCAAGUUGGCAUUUCUUAGGGGUGCUGGAGGGGCAAUGAUUUAAGUCAUAUUUACUGCAUGUAUUUUAUGCAAUCCUGUAUUAUAUUAAACAUCCUUUGAUCAUUUGGAAACAUCUAGUAUAAUUGUUGUCAAAUUUCCAGCUCGUAUGUUUGUCAGUGUCAUUGCAUCUUAUGUAAAUCUGAACUUUCCUGCUGCAUUGCCACAUAAGCAAUGGGUUUAACUUUUAUAGUGUUUCAGUUUUACUGGUGUAUAAAGCAUGAGUAAUGCUAGAGUUA
This is an RNA transcript of Aegilops tauschii subsp. strangulata, 1576 nucleotides long. It is a transcript of the gene named 2-oxoglutarate and iron-dependent oxygenase domain-containing protein CP2, with no coding region annotated. Lineage: Eukaryota; Viridiplantae; Streptophyta; Magnoliopsida; Poales; Poaceae. The record is from RefSeq and is a predicted model, not a curated record.